UACGAAGGGGGCUAGCGUUGCUCGGAAUCACUGGGCGUAAAGCGCGCGUAGGCGGCUUCUUAAGUCAGGGGUGAAAUCCUGGAGCUCAACUCCAGAAAUGCCUUUGAUACUGAGUAGCUUGAGUCCGGGAGAGGUGAGUGGAACUGCGAGUGUAGAGGUGAAAUUCGUAGAUAUUCGCAAGAACACCAGUGGCGAAGGCGACUACCUGGCCUGUUCUUGACGCUGAGGCGCGAAAGCUAGGGGAGCAAACGGG
This 253-nucleotide ribosomal RNA is filed under the name uncultured bacterium. Its description in RNAcentral is "partial 16S ribosomal RNA". It matches the Rfam family "Bacterial small subunit ribosomal RNA", at positions 524 to 776 of the family's 1533-position model. The record is from RNAcentral.